GAUGAAGAACGCAGCGAAAUGCGAUACGUAAUGUGAAUUGCAGAAUUCAGUGAAUCAUCGAGUCUUUGAACGCACAUUGCGCCCUCUGGUAUUCCGGAGGGCAUGCCUGUCCGAGCGUCAUUGCUGCCCUCAAGCACGGCUUGUGUGUUGGGCCCCGCCCCCCGAUCCCGGGGGGCGGGCCCGAAAGGCAGCGGCGGCACCGCGUCCGGUCCUCGAGCGUAUGGGGCUUUGUCACCCGCUCUGUAGGCCCGGCCGGCGCCUGCCGAUCAACCAAACUUUUUUCCAGGUUGACCUCGGAUCAGGUAGGGAUACCCGCUGAACUUAAGCAUAUCAUAAGCGGAGGA
This 344-nucleotide unclassified non-coding RNA is filed under the name soil metagenome. RNAcentral describes it as "partial contains 5.8S ribosomal RNA, internal transcribed spacer 2, and large subunit ribosomal RNA". The stretch from base 1 to 120 matches the Rfam family "5.8S ribosomal RNA", at positions 35 to 154 of the family's 154-position model. The record is from RNAcentral.